CUCUUAUAUGUGAUGAUGGUGAGGAAUCAUCUAUUGAAAAAACUCACAUCCUCUUCUUUUCUGUAUCAAAAAAUUGAAGAAAUGGAUGAGUUAUGGGUGAUGAAAAAUCAAAGAGGAAUUAAGAGGGUUACCUAACAAAUGGAGUAGCCAAAGAAUCUUUGACUAGGAUUAGCAGUGGUUUAUGAGGUUUUCAUGGAUGCCCUUAACCCAC
Molecule: long non-coding RNA, 211 nt
Filed under: Elaeis guineensis (African oil palm)
Lineage: Eukaryota; Viridiplantae; Streptophyta; Magnoliopsida; Arecales; Arecaceae
Description: long non-coding RNA (EGUI_LNC018997)
Source: RNAcentral